Molecule: long non-coding RNA, 11846 nt
Organism: Anneissia japonica
Lineage: Eukaryota; Metazoa; Echinodermata; Crinoidea; Comatulida; Comatulidae
Exons: 2
Source: RefSeq, a predicted model, not a curated record
GCUUUGUCAGGUUUUUGCUGGUUGUUGUGCUCCUUUGGUUGUGUUUCUUGGUUCGUUAUUUCUGGAGUGUCACCUAAAACUGUGAGCUUGUACUUGCUAGGGCUUAAUUCUGCAUUAAAUUCUAAUAAUUUUUAUUUAAAUAUUCAAUACUAAGCAAGAAGUUCGUUAAUAAUUAGUGUUAGGGCAGUAAUUUGACUGUUUUUAGUUCGAUGGAGAUUCUCAAAAUCUGUGUGUCGCUUGGCUUUGCCAAUAACAGCAGGCCAGUUUUGCUUUAUUUCAUUGGCUCUUGAAAUAGUAAUGUAGCCUGUAGGACAACUGUGCGUUUGAGCGGUAAUAUAUUGGCAUUAUGUAGAGAAAAUCUUUGUGAGAAACUGUCAAGAAAUGUCGAUUGGUUAUUUUGUUGAAGAAAAGUAAAGAGUAAAAGGGACUUGAAUUUUGUUGCUAAGAAGAAAUCAACGUUUACUAAAAUAUCAGGAAAUUCAAAUACCAGUGGCGAGGAUGAGAAAAGAGGAUUUCAUAAACUUAAAGUAAUAAGGAAGCUAAGUAACCUAAAACCGAUAUAAUUUAGCAAUAAACUGUAAUUUUAGUAACAAAAAAAAUUUAAGUGAUUAAAAAAACCUGAAGUUAAAAUAACAUGAUAAUAAUUAUUCUAUAUACUUUAUCGAUAGAGUUAAGAUAAGGUGGGUGGGUGGGUGUAUAAUUUCUUUGUUUUGCCUUGUAGAUAUUCUUACAAGAAUUUUGUGGCAGAUUUGAGUUUUUGUAAGCGCAUUGAGAUCCAACUGAAUCCUGUGACGCUGAAUUCUAGUAAUUCAAGAAGAAAUUUUGGUAUAUUCCCUAAAUUGGAAAGUAUAUAAAUCAUAGUUUUUAAAUACAGUAGUAAUGGUAAGCGAUUCUAAUACUUUUAAAAUGCUCUGUUUAAUAUAUCUAAUUAAAUCCUACAAAACUAGUAUAUAGUAUAUAUAAUAAUUGUAUAUUGAAUGCAAGUUUUUCUUGUUUGGAGGGUGGGAGGCAAAAUUUUGUUUGUCUUUAUAUAGAAUGUUCUACCUGUGGAGAAUAUUGCCAAGUGUAGCUGCAAGAGUAGCCUUUUUAGUGAGAUUCAUGCAGGUCAUGUCAGGAGAGAUUGAACUGGUUACCAAUCUUAAACAGGUUCACCAAUCUUAAACUGGUUACCAAUCCUAAACAAGUUCACCAAUCUUAAACAGUUUCAGCAAGCCUAAACAGUUUCACCAAUCCUAAGCAGGUUGUAAUGACUGUCGCUUCAAACCUUCUGGCCAUUCUUUUCCAUCUGAGUAUUUGGUUUUUUUUCUCUUUGGUUAAAUUUCCUGACGAUAAUGCAUAACUAAAAUGGUUUUCCCGCGGCUAAUCAUAGGCAUAGUAACCCACAACGUAAAUCAGUAAUUUAUUAAAAUUAAUAUACACUGCUGUGGUCGUAAAUAAUGUCAUAAAGGAAUAUUAAAAUAGUUCUGAACGAAAACGAAAAUUAAGGCACUCUGUCCUAUUGUUUCUUUUACUUUUGCGGAUGUGUUUUGUAUUAGCUUAUUUUUCUCAGGUUAUGGUGGUGUUGAAAUGGAGUAUGCAAGAGGAACAUUCGUUUUUUUAUAUCCCCCAUUUUGUACAGGUUUUGAAAAUCGCGGACGUGUACACUUGCUCAGCAAGUCAAUACAGUACUAGUUGAUUCAUAUCUAGGAUCUUGACUUCAAGAUAACAAAGGUAUAUAAACAUUGUUGCAUGAAUUGUGACCUUGUAUAUACAGUAAUAUUGUAGAGGGAGUUUGUGUUUUGGGAGGUUUUUUUCUUGAGAUUACUUUCAGGAGAACAGUACUAAUUGCAUUAGAAGUCGAGUCUACUGCUUUAGCAAGUUAUCGCGAGAAUUGAAGAUCUGUGAAUACAAUAGUGAUCCUGCCGCUAUUUGAAAACGGUAUGGUUUACGUUAGUAAAGUUUAAAUCGGUAUUGCAUUUUUACAGAAAAAAAUCUAGAUUUUUGGGUAUUUCAUUGUUUAUACUUUUUAACCAAUAUUGGGUUGGCAGUUGGGAAGAAGGGGUUGGUUCUCAAUUUUUUUUAAUUCCACAAUUUAGGAUGAAGUUAAGUAGCUGUAUUUCCGAAUUAGCCGCAGUAUUUGAAGAUCUGUAAAUGUGAUGGUGUGUUCCUGGCAAGAUUUGUUAAAAAGUUUUGCAACUUCUCAAGUCCUGGUUGAAGGUUGAAAUCAGUAGGUUAAAAUUUAUACUGAGCAACAAAAAAUCAAUAAUUUGGGUACAAGAUUCUUAAAUAUCUUAACCAAUAUGGGGUUGGCUGUUGGGAAGCAGGGUUGUUUUCCUUUUUUUUAAUUCCAAAAAUUUAGGUUGAUUGAAGUAGACCUCUGCUUUACCAAGUUACCCGCUAGAAUUGAAGAUCAGUGUGAAUACAUCCCGUAGUGCUUCUGCCGAGAAUUGAGAAUAAGGUUUCCAUUGCAAGGAUUCGCAAGUCCUGGUAGAGUCGAGCUAAGUAGGUUACUCUUUCUACAGUAAGAGAAUAUAUAGGAUUUGGGUAGCAGAACAUUGAUAACUAACCAAUAUCGGGUUGGCUGUUGGGAAACAGGGUUGGUUCUUUGUUUUUCAAUUCACUAUUUAGGUUAAUGAAGUCAAGGCUACUGUUUAACCAAAUUUCCCGCGAGAAAUGAAGAUCUGUAAAUACAAUAUCAUGUUCGUACUGAAGACUGAGAGCAAUACUGUAUGGUUUACUUUGAAGGUUCGAAAAUAUAGCAAAAUCAGUAGGUUACACAUUUUUCCAAAAAAAAACUAAACUAUUGGGUUAAACAUCAUAUAAUACUUUUACAAUAUAGGGUUGGUUACUGGGAAGCAGGGUCGGUUCUCUAUUUUUUGAUUCCACAAUUUAGGUUGUUGAAGAGGUGCAUUUCCAAAUUAGCUGCAAGUAUCAAAGAGCCACAUUAUCUAAUACAAUGGAAGUACUUCCCAAGCAUACAAGUAAUCUGCAUUCCAAGUAAGCCUCUAUAAAAUUGAAUACAGUAACCCGUUUUGGUCUCCUAGGACCCCAAGAACACUCAUAGGCUACUAUUUCUGAAUGGUGGUACAUAAAAGUGCAAGCUAGAAGUCGUGUUUUGUACAGGUUUUGAAAACCUCGUCUCAAUCUUUGCGUGCAAGAUUUCAUUAAAUGUGGGACAAGUCCUCCUUGAAUAAAGGUUGUGUAUGGCAAGACAUUUCAGUUUUACAAAGUGAAGAUUUACAAGUAUCUUGUGGGCUUAUUGAUGUGGGGUGGGUUACUCUCAUUCUUUCUGUUGAAAAUCUUUUACAUAUAGGUUACCAUAUACUCUGUUGGAUCUGCAAAAGAAACAAGAUCAGAAGACAUAUCUGAAAACUAAAUUUUAUAUAAAGCGGUGCGUUAGAUGCUCGGAAAUCUUAUUAGUCAAAACUGUGAGUCAAUUGUUCAGACUACCAUCAUUGAAAAUAUAUUUUAUUGUGUAAUCCAUUUAGUAGUGUAAAAUAGUGAUAAACAACUUUAGUCCACAAUCGUAAAAAAACUUCAAAAACUAAAUCUUGGUUGAAGUAGUAAAUUGUAAUCAAUACAUGCUUUUUGGGUGUUGCGCUUGUUUUUCUGAUUUUCUCCUCAGAACAAAGUAAAUUUCUUGAAGAGAAUGUACCUCUGAAGGAUGGCAGAAGAAUAUUUUAUUCUUAUUCAAAUUAGUUUCAUAUUUUGCUAGCAAUGUCUUCAUGAAAAACGUGGAUGCUAAAAAGUAAAAGAUGUAAAACAGGUAUUUUCAGAAUAUUCUGUUGCAUGAAUGAUUACUGUACUUUAUAAUUAUUCAAGGAUUUUUCUGAAUAAAAUUUUCAGGUUGUAUUGUAAAUGGGUUUUUUUUUAUACAGUUUCUGUUAAGGGUUGGAUGUUGAAAGAUAGGGUUGGGUUUUUCCCUUUCAUUUUGCUAUGUAGGUACAAGUAUAUCUGAUCUACUGCUUCAAGUUAAGUAUACUCCUCCUUGGUCGCAAUCAAGUACUUGGUGAUCUUGCAUCCAUUGUAAAACAAGCUCAAACUGUGAGUUACGUUACAUCAAACCAUGUCAGUCUUUGUUCUGUAUCAAAAAUUGUUUUCCCUUGUGUUCCCUGUACUUUAAACAUAACAUUGCUUGUUUGAAGAACCUUUUGCGGUUUGUGUGUUUCUUAGUGUUUAUCUUCAGAUAUAGAUCCAAAGUAAAUAAAAGUAGUACUGUGUAGUAUACCAGGCCGAUUGUUUCCAGAUGAGCGCAUAAUUCUGUGUAAUUUAAAGUCUAAUUUUUAUACUGUACAAAGUAUUUAGAAUUUUGUUGAAAUAUAUUCUUGGGGAUUUCAUGAAAUAUAUAUUACUGUAAAAUAGUGUUUGAAUUAGCUUUUAUUUAUGCAUUUUGAAAAUCUAGCAUGGGGGUUGGGUACGGGGAUGGAUUUUUCUGGUUUUUUUUUAACCUCUAGGUUGGUGUUGCCUGCACUAGCGAAGUGUCAUCCAACCUGCUGUUGCCAUAUAAUCACCACAUUGCAUUUACUCCUAAGCCAAGCACAUGUGCAUUUGAUGCUCCAUCACUAUCACACACUAACAUAAGUAUAAACUGUGAGUUGCUCACUUGUUUUAGUUUAAAUGUCUACUGUUUUAUUGUAUGGCUGUUAAAUCUCAAUUAAAAUCAAUUGUAUUGGCUGAUUACUAUAUUUCUUUCUCAAUGGCCUGUUUUGCAAAGGCUUAGAGUUUUUACUAGUAUUCUGUUAUGCAAGAAUGUAUCAUUUGCGUGUUCUUUCCAUAAAUAUAACCCUCAACCUUGGUUUAUUGCUUUAGAUAACAAAACUGUAAUACUACAUUCGCACUGUACUAAAUAUUGAUUGAAUUAGAUGUACAUUAGGUGUAUGGGGAGGGGUUUUUUUUCUUUCUGUAUUUACAGAUAACACUUGACUAUGUUGGACAAUCCACUAUAAUACAAUUUGCUUUGUGCCGUCGUCACAGCAUUGCUGUAGAUUCAGUGUUUGGUUAGCACCACCAUGUUUCUUUAUCACAGGUAUCUCCAUAGCUUUCUAACAGGUAUGAUCGUUUGUAAUAACCAUUCAACGCUAAACAAAUUCUUUUUUUCGCAUGGAUUAAUAUUGAAAGCAUUUGAUUUGUCAACGUUAAAGCAAGAUAAAAUUACCUAAGUGCAUGAAAAUUCAAGGGGGCUGGGGCGCAAUCAUAUUUCUAUUCGCUUUUCAGAAACUUACUAUACCUUCUAAUACGAAUGCAAUUCUUGUGAGUCAUUUGUCAUCUGUGUGACCUUCAUGGACUUGGUGAGCUUAACUACUGGUAAUGGUUCGGAGUUUAUUGUUGGGCAUAUAUUGAUGUGUGCUAGGCAUGUGAAGUGAUCGCGUGUUGUGCCUUGAAUAUGGAAGGUUGUUUUGAAGGAAUCUGAACUGUGUAUUAAUUUGAUUUUCAUACUAAGAACUAAGAAGUAGAAGCCAAAAGUUUAGGAUGAAGCAUUGAGAAAAUAGAAUUGAAUGUAGUUUGGAUGGAAUCUUGAAAGGGAAUCCCUCAAAUUGACAAGAAAUUGGUAGCAAGUAGGAAGAAUGUUGGCCUUUACCAUAGGAAAUCGGGACUUAAUUGUGAACCAAUAAUACGUCUACUUCUACCUGCAACAUAAUUGUAGUAAAGCAAUAAGCAAUGUCAACUAUCAGACGUUAAAUGUAGGCCACUAUAAGAAGUCAAAUCAGAAGAUGGUUUAGCAGCACUUGUUAAUAGUAUUCAAGAUAAAGUAUUUUGUAUGAACUUAAAAUAUGCCUUGGUAUUUGCAACAUGCCUUGCUUUUGUGUUUUCCCCUCCCAAGAACUUCUUUCAGGCCAUUUGCCAGUCAGUUAUGGUGGGUGUAUUUGAUCAACAAGCAUUAGUACAGUAGUACUAGGAUGAAGAUUAAUGGUGUGGAUCAAGAUAGGUUUUGAUAGAACAGUAAAGGAAGUCCCUGAGCAAGUUGUGAGGAAUUCUGCCUUUUCAAUAAUUUCAUGUGCCUCCCAGAGAUGAGUGUAGCUUCCGGAAAAAGUAAAAGUAAGCAAGUUAUUGGUAAUGAUCCAGGCACAGUGAGUGACUAAAUUACAAAAUUGAUUUUAAAAAAAGAAAAAACUUUUAAACAUUUACCUAUUUUUAUGGUUACAAAAUGGUGUUUUUUCUUGUAACAUAGCUUAAGUUUCAGAUUUGCCAUAUGGGUGGAUUGGUGUUAAGAUGCAUGAAGACAUCUGAUCUUGACAACACUGUAGGGGCAUCCCAACAGGUACAUCCCAAGUGUGUUCUGCUAGGAAGAAUGUGGGAAAGAUAUCAUUCCGACCAAGACCAGUGAUAGCAGUGGGAGGUGUGAUCUUGAAUAUAAAUAAGCUUCUCGUGUGUAGGAAAACGAAGCAGGGACUUAGUACAUCAUGCAGUUUAAGGAGGGACCACCAUCUGGGGCAUGAGAUCCCUGCCAAGAGUUAUGGAAAACUUGCAAGCAAUUUCCCCAACCAAGCCAGUUUUGAAAAUUUCUAAGUGCUUUCUAGAGACAGUUUCAGCUUCCAGAAACAGUAAGCCAGUUGUGGUAAUUAUUGCUUAGGCACAGUGACUAAAUAAAUAACAUAGUUAAUUUUUCUAUUCUUUCUAUAGUAAUCUGCUGUGGUUUAGAAAGUUGUAUUUUUCUGUGGUGUUUUUUUUUUUUUUUCUUUCGUAACAUAGCUUAAGUUUCAGAUUUUCGAUAUGGGUGAAUUGGUGUUAAUGGUGAUGCAUGACGACAUCUGAUCUUGACAACACUGUAGGUGCAUCCUAACGAGUACAUCCCAACUAGGAAGAAUGUGAUAGGUGUUAAAGUGGGAAAGAUGUGUUUUAAGAUAUCAUUCUAAGGCCAGGGAUACCAAUGGGUUGUGUAAGCAUCAGAUAUGAAGGAACAAGCUUCUUGUGUGUAGAAAAACCAGCCAGGGACCUAGUACAUCAUGCAGGUUAAGGAGGGACCACCAUCUUUUGGCAUGAGAUCCCCACAAGAGUAAUGGAAAACUUCCAAGCAAUUUCCCCAAGCCAGCUUUGCUUUCUAGAGAGGUGUGGUUUCAAGAAACUGUAAGCCAGUUGUGGUAAUUAGGCACCGUGAGUGACUUAAUUUAUAGUAAAUUUGAAAAAUAUUGUCUCUACUUUAAUCAGUUUUUGUGGCUUGCAAAAUGGUUUCUGUGUGUUCUCUUCUUUUUUUUUCUCGUAACAUAGCUUAAGUUUCAGAUUUGCCAUAUGGGUGGAUUGGUGUUAGUGGAAGUGCGUGAAGACAACUAAUCUUGACAUCACUGUAGGGGCAUUCUAACGGGUACAUUCCAGGUGUGUUCUUCUAGGAAGAAUGUGAUAGGUGUUUAAGUGGGGAAGGUAUUCAAAGACCAGGGAUUCCAGUGGGAGGUGUGAGCACAAGGGCUAUGAAGGAACAAGCUUUGUCGUUUGUAGGAAAACCAAGCAGGGACCUAGUACAUCAUGCAGGUUAAGGAGGGACCACCAUCUUCAGGCAUUAUAAUUACUGAUUGAUAGUUAAGGCAGGACCAACUUCAGGGAACCAUCAUUUCUGGUUGAUAUACAAUUAAGGCGGGACCAACAUCUAUGCGGCACCAUUGUUAUCGGUUGAUAUUCAGUUAAGGCGGGACGAUCAUCUACAGGGAGCCAUUGUUACUAGUUCACCAUUCAAUAGCAGGGAGCAACAUCUUCAGGAGCAACCACAUUAUAUACCCAACUCAUGGGUUGAAUCACACCACUGUUAAAAUAUUUCAUGUAUAUAAUUAUGCAACUACAUUUUAAAAAUGAAAAUAUUGUAAAUGAGUUUUCAUAAUUUGUUAAUGGAUGUAAAAUUCAUUUUGUCCAGUAAUUCCUUGUAAAGUAGGAAGGGUAAUGAUUUCUUUUAAUUGUCUUAAUUGAAGAACAAAACAUACUAACCAAAAUUUAAAAAAAUAAUUGCACACAUAAAAUUCAUUAGUAUAAAAAAAACUAAAAAUGCAUGAAUUGCUUUGUGCUAGUUCUGUGACAGUAAUUUAUUGUUUGCAUCUUUGGUUUAUAUCGAUUAGAAAGUAAAAGACUUCCAUUUUAUAAACAAUAUAUGUAAUAAUAAUUUACAUGAUUUAAAAUUAAACUAAAAAAUCUAAAAUCGUAUUCAGAAAAUGUAGUACUUGAGAAAGCGACCAUCCUUUUUGUACCAUUCUCUUGCUUUGAAUCACCACUGUUUUUGUUGUUGCCAUCUUUUGCUUAUAUCGAUCAGAAUUAAACAAUAUAAUUGUAAUAAAAAUAUGAUUAAAAAUUGAUUAAAUUUAAAAAUUUAAAAUCCCAUGCAGAAAAUGUAAUUUAAGAAGUUGCCAUCAUCUUCGUACCCUACACAUGAUUUUGAAUCGCCACUGUUUUUUUUUUCUGGCAUCUUGUUUAUAUCUUUCAGAAAGUGAAAAAAUUCAAUUUUAUAAAUGGUAAAAACCUAAAAUUGUAUGCAGAAAAUGUAAUUUUUGAGCAAGACAUUUUGUACUAACUCUUGGUUUAAAUGCCACAAUUUGUAUCUGGCAUCUUUUGUUUAUAUAUCGAUUGGAAAAUAAAAAUAAAAUUCUAUAAACAAUAUAAUUAUGUAAUAAUAAUUUGAUAAAAAAUUCAUAAAUUUAAAAAUCUCGUAUUGUAUGCAGAAAAUGUAUUUCUUGAGGAAGUUGCCAUCCUAUUUGUACCCAACUCUUAAUUUGAAUUGCCACUGCCUAAGUUUUGUGUAUUUAUCACUUAACAGUUACUAAUUUUAGGAAAUAUUUGUUUUAAAACUAGAAAUUAAUUUGUUCUAGACGUUAGGUGGAAAUGCUUUUUUUUUUUUUUUUGGAUUUGCUACGUUUGGAUUUGCUACGUUUGUGUACAUCAGUUAAAACAAAAUAAAAUAGGUGGUUUUUUGUUGAAAAUAUUGAUACAAUUUUUUAAAAGUUUUACAUUGUAUAGAUCGAAUACAAGGGUUUUCUUUCUGUUGUAAAUAUUGAUUUUUUUUUAAAGUCAUAUUUUAUAGAUCAAGUAGACUAAAACUCAUUGUAUAAUAAUUAAUUUUGUGGUGUUUUUUCUUUUUUUUAUUGCAAAGUAAAUUGUAAAUAUUUGUAUUUUUUAAGGUAUAAUUCUGUAAGUGUUUGCUGAUAUAGUAUUUAUUUUGGUAAAAAUACAAGAUUUCGAUGCCAUUAUGGCUAAAGAAUUAAUUGGUUUAAAAGCAUAAAUUGCUAUAUUUUAGAUUUUUUUAAAAAUUAAACACUUAAAGCUCGAAAAAGUUAAAUGUGAGAAAUGAAUAUCGUACAGUACCUUAAUAUUAUUUUAUAAUAUUAAUAUAUUAUAUAAACAUUAUUCUUUCCAGAUUAUGGAUUUCAAAUAAAUAAUUGAUUUUAAUAAUUAAAAAUUGCGGUAUGUAAAAGUUAAUUCAAUAAUAAUUUAUUAAUUUUAAUGUAAUUAAAAUUACAGUAUUAAUGCUAAUCCCAAUCACAACUGAUUUUUUAAAAGAAAUCCAGAAUGUGGAAUUUUUUUUCAAAAACAAAAAGUUCUGUAUGCAACCUAAAAUAAAAGGCUGUGUAGAAAAUUUUUAUUUUUUUCUUUUUUAAUUAAAAGUUUGAAAAAGUUAAAUGCGGGAAAUAAUAUCGUACAGUACCUUAAUAUUAUUUUGUAAUAUUAAUAUAUUAUAUAAACAUUAUUCUUUACAGAUUAGAAAUAAUAAUAAUUAGUAAUUGUGGUUAUGUGAAAGUUAAUUCAAUAAUAAUUUAUUAAUUUUCAAAAAAUACAAAUUAAUAGAGUAAUAAUGUUAAUCCUAAUCAGAACAGAUUUUUAAAAAAAUCCAGUAAUAAUGUUAAUCCUAAUCAAAACAGAAUUUUAAAAAAAAUCCAGAAUGGGGAAUUUUUGUUUUAAAAACGAAAAAUAUAAGUUCUAUAUGUAACCUAAUAUAAAAGGUUGUGUAGAAAAUUUCGAUUUAACCUACUGUAAUAUACGCUAUAUAUCGAUAAUUUAAAAAAAAAAAAGAUAUAUCUUGAUUGAAAGGGUUUGAAAAUAUUUUGUAUGCAAAAAGUAAAAAUGUAACAAACGUUAAUGAUUAUGACGUAUAUAUAUAUUUUUUAAAAUUUACUACAUAAAACUGUUGUCCAUUGAGAAUUGAGAAAAAAAUAGUAAAGUCCAUUGAGAAUGAAAAAAAAUAGUAAAGUUAAUAUUGAAUGUACCCUAAUUAAGUAUAGUUUUAAUGUCAAAAAAAUUAAAUCUUGUACUUAGGGAAACAAAAAGCAAUCUUUGAACAAUAAGUUCUUGUAACAUUUUUUGUUUAUGACAUUCUUUGGAUACAAAACCCCAAAAUUAAUAAUCUACUAUUUAGCUCCAUUUAGCACGCCAAUAUUUAAAGUUUAAAAUUAAAUUUAAGUAUUGAAAGCUAGCUAUUGAAAAAAAUUAAUACAACGUAAUUUAAAUUAAACCUAUUGUGCUUUUUUUAGUUAUGCUUCAAUUAAAUAACUUUAUUUCAAGUUUUAGCAUUUUAUGGUAAAGGAUGUGUGUAAAUAAACGGGAUUAAACUAGGAACUAAAGAAGUUUCAAGUAUUUAAAGCUAGCUAUUGAAAAGAGAAUUUAUAUAAACUAAUAUUAGAUUUUAAAGAAAAUUUAGAAAGUGAAAGUGAUUGGAAAAUAAACUAUUAAGAUGUAAUGCAACUUAAUGAUAAUGUUAGCAACUAGCUUGCAUAAAACAGGUGUAAUAUUACACUUAAAUAUAAUCCAGUUAAUCAUUGAAUAAGAAAAUAUAUGUACUGCAUUUAGUACUGCUAUUUGUUCGUAUUCAUGUCAUUUUUAAAUACAAAUUAAUCAUGCUUGCUACAGAAUACAACCAAACUUCAAAAAACAUUUAAAGAAUAGGAAUACUGUAGUAAUUGCAGUGUCUAUAUUUUUAAAUCUUAUUACAGUACUGAUAAAUUUAUUAUUUAUUUAUAUCAAAGAAAUGUUUUGUACAGAAUUAAUUUUUAAAUACUAAUGCCAGCUUUGAAUUGCUAGAAAUAAUUGCUAUGUUCUGUAAUACAAAGUCUUUAGCCUUAAAUGUGAAGUAAUAGUGAUCGGUUUAAAGCAUUUUAUUAAUGCUGAACUGCAAAAUAUGGUUUAUAAAAAACUGAUUUUUAACUUUUGUCAAAGGCCUUGCAUUGUACCAAAAAAAUCUGUGAAAUUUGUAUUGUGCAGCUAUUUAAUGUAUAUAAAAUGUUGAAAAUAUAUCUUUAAAAUUGAACAUAGAUUUAAAAAUAACCCUAUAUCAUUAAAUUAUUACAUUAUUCCAGUACAGUACUAACAUCUUUAAAUUUAAUUUAAAGUUAAUUUAUGCACUGCUUUCAUUAAAGUUUUUUUACAUUUAAAAUCUGGUUGAUAAAAAUGUGAAUUAAUAUUGUGCUAUUGUGUAUAGAAUGCUCAUAAUUUGUGUUGUAUUUGAAAGACGUGUUUUUUAAUAAUUUUUUUUUUAUCGGAUAUUUAAAAUAUAAACUUAAAUGUAAUUCAUAAACAUGUACAGUACAUACAGUCAAAUGCUUUUUUUUUCACUGAAAAUAUGCAACCAUAAUAUUUAGAAAAAUUAUUCUGUAAUUUAGGGAGGAAGUGCGGACCCCACUUUUGUGGGGCCUUAUAGGCGCCUGUCUUAGUUACUGUUAGGCUGUAAAAUAAAAAAAGGAUGCUAGGGGGUGAGACAACACCUUGGCUGGUCAGAGCAUUGGGAAAUCGCACCUCCCCCUCCUAUAAAAUAUUAUUGGCGCCAAGGAGUUAGGGUUGGGUGUCCGGCUCGCAGCAUAUCCUAGCAUCCAAAUCAAAAAAAAAAAAAAUACAUUCUGUAUUGUAUUUGAAAACUAUUUUGAUUUGGAAUAAUAAAUGUCAAAAACAAUUGGCGCAAAAAAGUA